This 497-nucleotide ribosomal RNA is filed under the name uncultured bacterium. RNAcentral describes it as "partial 16S ribosomal RNA". It matches the Rfam family "Bacterial small subunit ribosomal RNA", at positions 28 to 507 of the family's 1533-position model. The record is from RNAcentral.
GAUGAACGCUGGCGGCGUGCCUAAUACAUGCAAGUCGAGCGAACAGACGAGGAGCUUGCUCCUCUGACGUUAGCGGCGGACGGGUGAGUAACACGUGGAUAACCUACCUAUAAGACCGGGAUAAUCUCGGGAACCCGGAGCUAAUCCGGGAUAAUAUAUUGAACCGCAGGGUUCAAUAGUGAAAGACGGUUUUGCUGUCACUAAAAGAUGGAUCCGACCCGAAUUAGCUAGUUGGAAAGGUAACGGCUUACCAAGGCAACGAUGCGUAGCCGACCUGAGAGGGUGAUCGGCCACACUGGAACUGAGACACGGUCCAGACUCCUACGGGAGGCAGCAGUAGGGAAUCUUCCGCAAUGGGCGAAAGCUUGACGGAGCAACGCCGCGUGAGUGAUGAAGGUCUUCGGAUCGUAAAACUCUGUUAUUAGGGAAGAACAAAUGUGUAAGUAACUAUGCACGUCUUGACGGUACCUAAUCAGAAAGCCACGGCUAACUACGUG